Molecule: long non-coding RNA, 151 nt
Organism: Labeo rohita (rohu)
Lineage: Eukaryota; Metazoa; Chordata; Actinopteri; Cypriniformes; Cyprinidae
Exons: 3
Source: RefSeq, a predicted model, not a curated record
AAAAAGCAAUUUAUAAAGAAAAAAACUUGAAAGCGCCAGUCUUCAUUUAUUGUAAUUGCAUGGAAAAGAGCAACCAGCACAAAUGUCAUCUUUUAUGUGAGGAAAAAAGUCAUACAUGUUGACAUGAGGUUGAAAAGAAACUAAGGUUUUU